This 370-nucleotide ribosomal RNA is filed under the name uncultured organism. RNAcentral's name for it is "partial 16S ribosomal RNA". It matches the Rfam family "Bacterial small subunit ribosomal RNA", at positions 527 to 896 of the family's 1533-position model. The record is from RNAcentral.
GUAGGGUGCGAGCGUUAAUCGGAAUUACUGGGCGUAAAGCGUGCGCAGGCGGUUCGCUAAGACCGAUGUGAAAUCCCCGGGGCUUAACCUGGGAACUGCAUUGGUGACUGGCGGGCUAGAGUAUGGCAGAGGGGGGUAGAAUUCCACGUGUAGCAGUGAAAUGCGUAGAGAUGUGGAGGAAUACCGAUGGCGAAGGCAGCCCCCUGGGCCAAUACUGACGCUCAUGCACGAAAGCGUGGGGAGCAAACAGGAUUAGAUACCCUGGUAGUCCACGCCCUAAACGAUGUCAACUAGUUGUCGGGUCUUCAUUGACUUGGUAACGUAGCUAACGCGUGAAGUUGACCGCCUGGGGAGUACGGUCGCAAGAUUA